GCACAGUGACCCAGUUAUUGGCAGGUAACAGCUGUGAUAACCAUACAACACUACUUCUGUGAUAUAAUACAAAAUGAUAUUGUUCAUUGACAAAUCUCUCUGCGUCUAAGUAUCCAAGUAGUCUCAGGGUCUCCUAAUUCUGCUGGAGCUGAUCCCAUUUGAGAUAGGGGGAGCCUUCUCAUACACAAGAUUUGAGAUUGUUGGAGAUGGUCGUAAUCUGAGUGACACUACUGAAGCUACCUGAUUAAUGCUAUACUUACCAGGAGACAAAACUCACCCUGUGAUCGUCGAACCACUGUCAGUAAUCUUUGAGAACUUGUGGCAGAUGACUGAAAUCCCAGAAGAGUGAAAAAACAGAAGUUGCAUAUGUCUUUAAAAAUAAAAACAGAAAGAUGGAGUAAACUAUAA
Non-coding RNA from Pantherophis guttatus, 408 nucleotides. NCBI's taxonomy places the organism in Eukaryota, Metazoa, Chordata, Lepidosauria, Squamata, Colubridae. The record is from RefSeq and is a predicted model, not a curated record.